This 5359-nucleotide long non-coding RNA is filed under the name Octopus vulgaris (common octopus). The record is from RNAcentral. Lineage: Eukaryota; Metazoa; Mollusca; Cephalopoda; Octopoda; Octopodidae.
GUCGGUAUUAGUAACCAUUAUAGCGACUUCCGGUUGUAGUGUCAUGUUCUUGAUUGAAAAGGUAAGGAAUUUCGCUUUGUUUGGGCUUCCUCAAUAAUGUUUACGUUUUAUUGCCAUAAACCUUUUGAACCAAUAUUUCUCUUUACAUAAACAUAUAUACGUAUAAUUAAAUAACCAUUGGGGCAAUUUUCAAACCAAAGGCCACCGCUGGACCUGCUAGAAAUAACAAGACCCAUUGGAUAAUGUAAACGUGAUGGUCACGGUUGAAGUAUAUUUCUCAUUAGGAGCCCUGUAGGUUCAGGGUUGCCUCGAAGCAAAAUAAUAGUAUAACAGUUAAAAUAAUAUACAAGGUAUUAGGGGUUCUAUACGGUAUAUGUUGAAACUAUUCUGGCAGCGAAGUCAUACGUGGGGCUCAGUUUCCUCUCGAUUCUGAUUUUGAUUGUCAGUUUGAUUUCGUCUUGUUUAGUCUUACAAGUGCUCUUGAAAAAGGAAUGGUUGUCACUAUUUCUCAUCUCUUCCCCCACUUAAAAUCUACUUGUUUGUUGCCCCUAGGAUCCUUCCAAACUUCCAGGCUUCCUGAUUUCUUCCCCUCCAUACAUACGCAAGCAGGUAUCUGACUCAUACACUGUUCACUUCCCAGACAUUUGUACAUUACUGCAUAUGCUUUAUACACACUUUUGACAAGUUGUGCUGCACCUGAGCACUGUAUACAAUAAUUUCAUUAUUAUUAUUAUAAGGUACUACUAGCGAACAGUGGUCCCGGUGCGCGCACUCGCGUAUCCGCGCUAGCUAGUCGUAAGUAGUCGAUCCUACGACUUUUUAACCCUAACCUUUGUUUAUAAAAAUAAUUUAUUUACUUAGUUUAAAAAAUUAUUUACUUUGCGUUUUAUUUACUUUGUUCGAAAAAUAUUCUUUAAUUUUCUUUGAUAUGUAUUCAGCCUUGAAAUACAAACAUACGCGCAAGUCGUUGUAGGAUCGACUACUUACGACUAGCUUGCGCGAGUGCGCGCUCCGGGACUACUGUUCGCUAGUAGUACCUUAUUAUUAUUAUUAUCAUUUGAGUGCGUCUAGUCGUAGCAGAUUAUCCGACUCAGGUUUGAGGGAGAUUUGACUGCUGUUUCUAGCAAACCGGAUAGCUCUUUAGACUUGUGGUUGUCAACCAUCUUUUACCGGUAAACUUUGAUGCUUUCACCCGUGCGAUAGGAAGAUAUGGUACUUGAUUCCACGCAAACAGUCCGAGGGUUUUUUUUUCCUUAGUGAAAAUCGUGGGGUGAAAGUAUAAAUAUUGAUCAAUAUAUAAAGAUCGGCAUAGUUUCGGUAAACUUCGCCAUAAAGAUCUUCACCCGGGAACAAGAAAAAAAAUGCGCGCUAAUGACCCUGGGGGUGGGGAGGGGACUUUCGGAAAAUUCACAAGAUCCGAUUUUUCCGUCAUAACUUCCGGUAAAAUGGAUAUAUAUAUUGUUUAUUUGGGGUUUUUUGCAAAAUACGAAGAUUACGAUUCUGAAAAAAAUUUGUUUGUAAAAUUUCAAUUUUUCAACAGAAAAAAAAACAAAAGAAUAUAUACCCUCAGGCCUUCAAGCAGGUUAUCCACAUGCUAGAAAUAACAGCCAAAUCUCACAAAACUGCGAUAACAUAAUGUAAUCAAUCUACUAACCGUUCUGCAAAGAUUUCUUUCAGAGUAAUUUCCCGUUGUAAUAUGACAAAAUAAUUCAUGUGAAAUUAAAGUGGGUUUAUUUUUGUAGUUGUUUUAAAACUUUUUUUCGAAUUUUUUUCAUCAAUCUACGUGGGAAAAUACGGACAUUAAGAAUAUGGAAAAAAAUAAACAAAUUUAAAUUUAAUUUUUUCAGAAUCGUAAUCUUCAUAUUUUUCUACGUAUUUCGCAAAUAAAUGAAUAAAAAUUGUCGGAAAAGGGGAAAAUGAUUACUAUUUUAUUCUGGUGGACUCCCAUAACCAUUCCACGUUUAAAAGCUAAUUAUAGACUUCUUUCUCAAUUCCUGUUUUGUUUUUUCUCACGUUCGCUUGUGUAGAUUUGCAGUAGCACCCUCAAAGUGAACAUGUUGAAGUAUGUAAGGCAUUAUAGAAAGAAACCUAAAUGUAGUUGUUUCUUGCAAUAAAUACCUCUAAAGUAAAAUUUUUUCACAGGCUGCUAAAAUAUGACUGUUGACCCCCCCCCCCCCCCAUCUUAUCUGGACUCCAGUUAAGAACCCCUGAUUUAGACUCUAAAUUUUAGAAGUUCCCCUGUUGGCUUUGUUGGUGGGAUCCAUAAAUGUGUUGGUAAACAUCCUUUGUGCAGUGUAUGAUAAGAUAAAUACUGAAGUUAGAAAUCUUUAUCUGCCUCGAAUUGGCUGACGGAACCGUUAGCUUGACGGACGAAAUGCUUUGGGGUAUUUCAUCCGUCUUUUCGCUGUGACCUACAAUUCUGCCUUUUUCUUUUGGGGUUGAUAGCAUAAGUACCAGACAAUCGACUUCCCCUCAAAAAACUACUGACCCGGUGCCAAAAUUUGAAACCAUUAUCUGCUUUGAUGCAGUCUCAGUUCUAUCUGCCAGUUUCUCACAACCAGCAGAAGAAGAAAAAAAAAACAAUGUAUGAUCUUCCACUUUCAGAUAUUUUUUGCUUUACUUUGGCAAGGGGUCAGUAGUUUUUUGAGGGGAAGUCGAUUGUCUGGUACUUAUGCUAUCAACCCCAAAAGAAAAAGGCAGAAUUGUAGGUCACAGCGAAAAGACGGAUGAAAUACCCCAAAGUAUUUCGUCCGUCAAGCUAACGGUUCCGUCAGCCAAUUCGAGGCAGAUGAAGUUAAAAUAUAGUCAAAAUAUGUAGCAAAAGCAAAGUUUGAAGAAAAUCUUAGCUAUUUUUCAUACUUUCUGAAGGUAAGCAAAUAGGAAACGACAGUUGCUAUCCAAGAACAAAAAUCUUGUUCCACUGUAACAAUCGCAAAGAAUUGCUUUUAUUUUUAACCCUGCAAAUGUAAGUUGAUGUUAUGUUUUAUUGUUAUCUGGCAUUGUCGGCAUAGGAUUGUGUUUAAAACCAGUAAUUUAUAAGAAAGAGGAACACAUCCAACCUAUUUUAACAUACAAAAAACUCAUCUCCUGGUUUUAUGAACUUCAAGCACUGUAGCAUUCAUUUCGGUCCAACAAUUUCCCUAACAACUCAUAACCAUGGCUGCAUAUGGACAUUAAAAUAACAACUAUAGUUCUUUGGUUGUAUACUGUCAACAUAACGUGACAGUCCUGUAAAGGGAAUUACACCACCGCUAUUUAGCCUCAGGAAGCAUCGACGCUUCUUGUCGGCUUUGACAAUUUCCUGUGCUUCCUAGGGCUAAAUAGCAGUGGGGUAAUUCCCUGUAUGGGACUGUCAUGUUAAGUUGACAGUAUACAACCACUCUAUCGCUCCUCCACCGCUCAUGUCUCUCUGAGACAUUUAGAAAUUCAAAAUAGUUCUUUGAUUCUGUAUUUAUAAUUAUUAUUACCUUUUUUUCCUCUUUUUUUGCAGUGUUCUAUGUCAACUUUCAAGAAGUAAAACAAAAUAAUCCAGCCAGAAUGUCGUAUAUGUUACCUCAUCUCCACAAUGGCUGGCAAGUGGACCAGGCCAUUCUCUCAGAGGAAGAUCGUGUUGUUGUCAUCCGGUUUGGUCAUGACUGGGAUCCCACCUGCAUGGUUAUGGAUGAAGUACUUUAUAAAUGUGCUGAAAAAAUCAAAAACUUUGUUGUAAUCUAUCUUGUAGACAUUACUGAAGUUCCUGACUUCAACAAGAUGUAUGAGUUAUACGACCCCUGCACGGUCAUGUUUUUCUAUCGUAAUAAGCAUAUCAUGAUUGAUUUAGGGACUGGUAACAACAAUAAGAUAAACUGGGCCUUAGAAGAUUGUCAGGAAUUCAUUGAUAUUGUUGAGACUGUGUAUCGAGGGGCAAGAAAGGGACGUGGUCUUGUUGUCUCACCAAAGGAUUAUUCUACUAAAUACCGUUAUUAAAACAUUUUUUAAUUAACUGAUGAAAGAGAAGUAAUUCCUUGGUGUGUCUGGAACAAGAAUCCCUUUCCAUCUUGUCCUCAUUCAUUUGACUGUUCUCUCAGCUGGGUUUAACAUUAAUUGUACAUGAAACAUUGCAGGUGGUUUCCUUAUUUUUUUCUUUCACAAAUUUACCUCUAUUUCUAUUUUAUUCCAUUAUAGCAUCAAGUUAUCAGUAUUCUUAUGAGUUUCAUCAGGUCUUCAAAUGACCUGAUUACUUAAAAAAAGUCAACUAAUUGGUACUGAUAGACAUAUUUUUUUUAAUGGGUUGUAUCUAUUAUUUCAAGAUAGCAGGGGUGAGAUACGUUUUAUGAAAUUGUAUAUUAUUAAAGCAAAUACUUUUACAGCUGAAUGUUACAAUUUUCUUUUAUGGCUUAUUGAUGAAGUAAUUUAAAGUUUAUGUUCUAUGAACUUCAUUUUGUGUAUCUUUGUCCUGCACUGAGUUUGAGUUUAUUCAUCCAACAACACUCUUCAGACAGUCAUUUCUAGGCUCAACUCAAAUUUUUUUUUUUUUUCUAAUGCAGUGUUUCAAUGUUCUUAUCACUCUACCAUGUCACUUAUCCUGUUUUAUACAUACAAAUGUGUGUAUAUAUAUAUAUAUACAUAUUCUUACAUACAUACAUAUAUAUAUAUAUGGCUGAAAACAGGUACAAGACCAUACUUGAAUGAUUAGCAAUAAGAAAGGACUCAACUAUUAUUGUCUGAUUAUUAAACUCCUUUUUCAUGUGAUGUCUUAUUCUUCAUUUCUUCGUUUCUUCCUUAGCAGGACAUCACAUGAAAAAGGUGUUUAAUAACCAGACAAGGAUAGUUGUGUCCUUUCUUAUUACUAAUCAUUCAAGUAUGUUUUCGUACUUGUCCUCAGCCAAGCUGAAUGAGUCAAAAUACGCUUUGUGCCCUAUCUAGGGUUACAACAUAAUAUAUAACAAUGUGACCUCAAAGCUACUAUUCCAGCAACUAAUUAUUAUUUAUUUGGUGGAUUCUAGUUUUAUACUAGGUGUACUUUGAUGUUAUAUGUGUCUACAUUUGAUAAUUGAAAUGGAUGCAAAAUUCUGAUCAGUCACUUUUUGGUUUGAAAUGUCUUAAGGAAUUGCAUUGAAUAUUAGCUUUGAUGAUCAAAGUUUACUAUAGCUAUAAUAGUGUUAUAGAUGUGCACUCAAUUAUGGUUAAGUGGUCAAUUGCAGAAAGAAGAAUCCUUUACAAAGGCUGAAAAGAAGCUAUCGUUCCAACAAUGAAAAUGUUCAAAUGUACUAAAACAAGUCUGUCUAUAAAUGAAAUAAAUUGUAAAAUAAUGCUCGUCUGAAUUGUGCGUUGAAAUCAUUUUGAAUUACUGUACGCGUUUACAAGAUUUUACCUGUCA